ACAGCUGAGCCUGCUGCGGUUGCUGCUGACUUCAAAGGCACUGCUUCCCUUGGAUCCACAUCAAGGACUGGAAUGAGAAAAGGGUCCCCUGACCUUCUUAUACUGCAGUGCCUUUGAGGACAAAGCUGAAGGAGCUCCCGUCUCAGAAUGAUGCCAUUUAGCUCGAGGGCCUGCUCCCUCUGGCUUGAUGGCCUGUCCAGAAGGCUCUGCCAGUGCCCAGAUGUAAACAUCUCUCCAGCAGCGUUGCCACGUGGAACCCUCACGCUGCUGGUCCCUGAGAAGCCACACGGGGAACUUGCCUUCCUCUGCCCUCCUCCCAGGCCCAGGCCUUGACCUACCUGGUUUAUAUUUAUACCUCAGCCUGAAUCCUCACACUGCUAUUCUUUUCUUCUUCCUAGUCACCUCGCCUAAGUGUCCCCAGCGGUGCUCUGCAGAGCAGAGGCCCCAGCUCCAAAACAACAGAACACAAAGUACUUUAACCUUUGAAUGUGGCAAGACCUCCGUGAAAAAUCGUUUCUCAGCCCAUUUGAUGGGAAAAGGGUGCUAUUUUUGUGACUACCUGUAACAUCUGAGUAUGCUCGUCAGAAGUCACUCCGAGGAAAAAUCUGAUUAUUAGUUGGGAAAAUGGGGCAAGGAGGAGGCAGAGAAGAGAAGUAGCUCUGCUGGGUAUGUGGCAGUGUGACUUCUAGAACUGUUUGUGUCCAUGUGGACUUGGACAAGCCACUUCAGGACUCUGGGUCUGGGUCUUCUCAUCCAAAACAAGGUAGGGAAGAGCCGCGCAGCCAGCAGAGCUGCUGCCUUCAGCACUGGGGACCCCAGGGCAGACAUAGGGCUUCUGCCUUCUGCCCAUUCCACAUGCUGGAGUCCUCCUCGGGGUGCAGUCCUGGCAAGCGUGUGUGUCUGUGGUCAAGACGACAGACCUUUCCUGCCAUUGCUUUAGUGGGAAAAUUGCAGAAAAAGGACUACAAACACCUCUGCAGUCUUCCUUUGAUUAAUGAAAUCAGGGCAUUACUCAGAAUUGCUCCUGGGGGCGCAGUGACCCACGCAUGUAACCCAGUAUUUUGGGAGGCUGAGGCAGGUGGAUCACAUGAGGUCAGGAGUUCGAGACCAGCCUGGCCAACAUGGUGACACUCUUCUCUACCAAAAAGGCAAAAAUUAGCCGGGUGUGGUGGAGGGCACCUGUAAUUCCAGCUGCUUGGGAGGCUGAGGCAGGAGGGUCACUUGAACCUGGGAGGCAGAGGUUGCAGUGAGCCAAGAUCACGCCACUGCACUCCAGCCUAGGUGACAGAGCAAGACUCCAUCUCAAAAAAAAAAAAAAUGCCCCUGGGAUGUGUAUUAAUCACAGGUUAAUGACUUACAAAUUCAUAUCGUGUCAUAUGUAUGACAGAUUAUAUUUAGAUGUAUUUAUAUUACAUGUAUGACACUACAUGAGUACAAAUUACAGGUGUUUGUACAGAUAUUUGUAUAUUUAUUAAAAAUAUCUAUUAUAAGUAUAGAUAGGUAAUUACCUACUAUUUUAUAGGUAUUUGUCUCUAUAGACACAUAUAUAUGGACAGGUUUUUUUGUGUGUAUAUAUAUAUAUGCACACAUAUAUAUAACACUAUAUCAAUACAAAUCACAGGUAUUUUUAUAUAUAUUACAAAUACCUAUUAGAGAUAUGUAUUAGUAAAUGUCAUAUACAUAUUUAUAUAUAUAUACAUGUAAAUAUAUAGGUAUUUGUGUGUAUAUGACACUAUAUGAAUACAAAUCACAGGCAUAUACUUACACACAGAUACGGAGUCACCCAAGGAUUCCCUAUAAGGCCAUGGACAAAAAGCAUGUGUCUCCCAUGGUGGACUGAAUUGUGUCACCCUCAAAAGAUACACUGAAGUCCUAACCCUGGUACCUGUGAAUAUGACCUUAUUUUUGAAAUAAAAAUAUAUUUGCAGAUGUAAUUAUGAUGUAGGUGGAGAUGAGAUUAUUCUGGAGUAGGGUGGGCCCUCAAUCCAAUACGGCUGGUGUCCUUAUAAGAAGAGGGGAGAGGAACAGAGACAGACACUGUCAUCCACAAGGAGACCACCAUGUGAAGACACAGAUGCAUAGGGAAGGGCCACGUGAAGAUGACAGCAGUGACGGGAGUGGGGCAGCUACAAGCCAAGGAAUGUGGAGGAGUGCCGGCCACCACCAGAAGCUGAGAAGAGGCAAGGAAGGACCCUUCCCCACAGCCUUUAGGAGGAACAUGGCCCUGCCGAAACCUUGAUAUCACACCUCUAGCCUCCAGAACAACGAUGCAAUCAAUUUCUGUUGUUUUCAGACACUCAGUAAAGUACCCGCGUGGCUAGGGGAGCCCUAGGAAGCGAGUAUAGCUCUCGUGGCCGAAUGGAAUGAAGCGAAGCCUUCAUGUCAGCAUUGGGCUUGCAGGUGCUGAGCCCCCGAUGGUGGCCCCUCUUCCCGGCUUUCUCUCAGGGGCAUGGGUGGGGUGGAGAUAUUCAACUACUUCCAACGGAAACCAACACUUGAAAGGUUAUGAAGGCCCCUAAACCUCCUGCUCUUCCAUGGUGAUGGCUGACAGCUAAAGCCACACUGCCACUACCCUAAGCCCAAGCUUGAUCACCUGGAAAUGGGGACUGAGAGAGGACGAGAACAGCACAGCCUUUGAGCUCUCAUGGGGUGGCGUAAAUUUAUGGUCAAUAUGCCUCCAGAUCAGAGGUCCUGCUGUUAGAGAGUUUUCUUUUUUUGCUUUAGUGGUACACAGGAAUUCUCCCCCAGCCCCCUCAAGAUACUCACACAUCUUUUUAAAAUUUGCACCUUUUUUUCAGUCUGGUUUCCUAUGGUGAAGGGGAGGCUAGGAAAUGCCCAAUAAAUCAUCUGUCUGUCUUCACUCAAUUGAAAGGCAGGAAAUGCAGAGAACAGUCACGUUACCUUUCCACUUUGCAUAUAACAAGAGCUAUCAGGACCUGUUCCUUUGAAGGGGAGGCCCUUCUGACAGCAAUAUUAAAUUUUCGAGGCCACUGGAGUUUGUUUCUUGGGACCAGACCCAAAGUGGGCAGGCAUGUGGGAUGUUGGCUCUUUCCCCUACCAGCCCCUUCUAGGAGUAACUUCUUGGGCUUACCCUGGGAAAUCUACUCAGUCAGCAAUGAUUUAGGGGCUCCAUGUGCACAGCACCAUUGUAAGUCUAUGUGGAUUAAAGGAAUUCUACUCUUGAGUCCUAAUUCUUAACAAAUUUACAUCUACAGACAGUCCUAGACUUAUAAUGAUUCAACUAAAUGAUUCCUUGACUUUAUGAUGGUGUGAAACUUCCAAUUUUAAC
This 3289-nucleotide long non-coding RNA is filed under the name Homo sapiens (human). Its description in RNAcentral is "non-protein coding lnc-ZFP36L1-9:6". Lineage: Eukaryota; Metazoa; Chordata; Mammalia; Primates; Hominidae. The record is from RNAcentral.